ACUCAAAUGAAUUGACGGGGAUCCGCACAAGCGGUGGAGCGCGUGGUUUAAUUCGUUAAUAAACGAAGAACCUCACCAAGGCUUGACAUGUAUAGAACUUUCAGGAAACUGAGAGGUGCCGCAAGGAGCUAUAACACAGGUGUUGCAUGGCUGUCGUCAGUUCGUGUUGUGAGAUGUUGGGUUAAGUCCCUUAACGAACGCAACCCUCAUCGUAUGUUACAUUACUUACGAGACUGCCUCGCUAAAACGAGGAGGAAGGUGGGGAUGACGUCCAGUCCUCAUUGCCCUUAUGCCUUGGGCUACACACACGCUACAAUGGGCGAGACAAAGGGUCGCGAAGCAGCAAUGCGGAGCUAAUCCCAUAAACUCGCUCUCAGUUCGGAUUGUCGGCUGAAACUCGCCGGCAUGAAGUUGGAAUCGCUAGUAACCGUGUGUCAGCAAGGCACGGUGAAUACGUUCUCGGAUCUUGCACACACCGCCCGU
Molecule: ribosomal RNA, 483 nt
Filed under: uncultured bacterium
Lineage: Bacteria
Description: partial 16S ribosomal RNA
Rfam family: Bacterial small subunit ribosomal RNA
Source: RNAcentral